RNAcentral lists this ribosomal RNA (498 nucleotides) under uncultured bacterium. RNAcentral's name for it is "partial 16S ribosomal RNA". It matches the Rfam family "Bacterial small subunit ribosomal RNA", at positions 28 to 507 of the family's 1533-position model. The record is from RNAcentral.
GACGAACGCUGGCGGCGUGCCUAAUACAUGCAAGUCGAACGAGAGCGACCGGUGCUUGCACUGGUCAAUCUAGUGGCGAACGGGUGAGUAACACGUGGGUAACCUGCCCAUCAGAGGGGGAUAACAUCCGGAAACGGAUGCUAAAACCGCAUAGGUCUUCGAACCGCAUGGUUUGAAGAGGAAAAGAGGCGCAAGCUUCUGCUGAUGGAUGGACCCGCGGUGCAUUAGCUAGUUGGUGAGGUAACGGCUCACCAAGGCCGUGAUGCAUAGCCGACCUGAGAGGGUGAUCGGCCACAUUGGGACUGAGACACGGCCCAAACUCCUACGGGAGGCAGCAGUAGGGAAUCUUCCGCAAUGGACGCAAGUCUGACGGAGCAACGCCGCGUGAGUGAAGAAGGUUUUCGGAUCGUAAAACUCUGUUGUUAGAGAAGAACAAGUGCUAGAGUAACUGUUAGCGCCUUGACGGUAUCUAACCGGAAAGCCACGGCUAACUACGUG